RNAcentral lists this transfer RNA (75 nucleotides) under Gammaproteobacteria bacterium. RNAcentral's name for it is "tRNA-Gly". It matches the Rfam family "tRNA". Rfam says of the family: Transfer RNA (tRNA) molecules are approximately 80 nucleotides in length. Their secondary structure includes four short double-helical elements and three loops (D, anti-codon, and T loops). RNAcentral also lists the same sequence under 2 other names. Lineage: Bacteria; Pseudomonadati; Pseudomonadota; Gammaproteobacteria. The record is from RNAcentral.
GCGGGCGUCGUAUAACGGCUAUUACCUCAGCUUCCCAAGCUGAUGACGUGGGUUCGACUCCCAUCGCCCGCUCCA